UACGUAGGGUGCAAGCGUUGUCCGGAAUUAUUGGGCGUAAAGAGCUCGUAGGCGGUUUGUCGCGUCUGCUGUGAAAACCUAAGGCUCAACCUUGGGCUUGCAGUGGGUACGGGCAGACUAGAGUGCGGUAGGGGUGACUGGAAUUCCUGGUGUAGCGGUGGAAUGCGCAGAUAUCAGGAGGAACACCGAUGGCGGAAGGGCAGGUCACUGG
This 211-nucleotide ribosomal RNA is filed under the name uncultured bacterium. RNAcentral's name for it is "partial 16S ribosomal RNA". It matches the Rfam family "Bacterial small subunit ribosomal RNA", at positions 524 to 732 of the family's 1533-position model. The record is from RNAcentral.